UACGUAGGGUGCGAGCGUUAAUCGGAAUUACUGGGCGUAAAGCGUGUGCAGGCGGUCAUAUAAGACAGAUGUGAAAUCCCCGGGCUUAACCUGGGAACUGCAUGAGUGACUGUAUGACUAGAGUGCGGUAGAGGGGGGUAGAAUUACGCGUGUAGCAGUGAAAUGCGUAGAGAUGCGUAGGAACACCGAUGGCGAAGGCAGCCCCCUGGACCAAAACUGACGCUGAAACACGAAAGCGUGGGGAGCAAACAGG
RNAcentral lists this ribosomal RNA (253 nucleotides) under uncultured bacterium. Its description in RNAcentral is "partial 16S ribosomal RNA". It matches the Rfam family "Bacterial small subunit ribosomal RNA", at positions 524 to 776 of the family's 1533-position model. The record is from RNAcentral.